Molecule: ribosomal RNA, 83 nt
Filed under: Bacteroidales bacterium
Lineage: Bacteria; Pseudomonadati; Bacteroidota; Bacteroidia; Bacteroidales
Source: RNAcentral
CCUCUUACCAUUCCGAACAGAGAAGUUAAGCCCAUUUGCGCCGAUGGUACUGCGUUCAGCGGGAGAGUAGGUCGUUGCCGUUU